This 448-nucleotide ribosomal RNA is filed under the name uncultured bacterium. RNAcentral's name for it is "partial 16S ribosomal RNA". It matches the Rfam family "Bacterial small subunit ribosomal RNA", at positions 28 to 523 of the family's 1533-position model. The record is from RNAcentral.
GGUGAACGCUGGCGGCAGGCUUAACACAUGCAAGUCGAACGGUGUAGCAAUACACAGUGGCAGACGGGUGAGGAACACGUGGGAACAUCCCUUUCGGUUCGGAAUAACGUUGGGAAACUAACGCUAAUACCGGAUACGUCCUUCGGGAGAAAGAUUAUUGCCGAGAGAUUGGCCCGCGUCUGAUUAGCUAGUUGGUGAGGUAACGGCUCACCAAGGCUACGAUCAGUAGCUGAUCUGAGAGGAUGAUCAGCCAUAUUGGGACUGAGACACGGCCCAAACUCCUACGUGAGGCAGCAGUGGGGAAUAUUGGACAAUGGGCGCAAGCCUGAUCCAGCCAUGCCGCGUGAGUGAUGAAGGCCUUCGGGUUGUAAAGCUCUUUUAUCCGGGAAGAUAAUGACUGUACCGGAAGAAUAAGCCCCGGCAAACUUCGUGCCAGCCGCCGCCGUAA